GAUGAACGCUGGCGGCGUGCCUAAUAUAUGCAAGUCGAGCGAACAGACGAGGAGCUUGCUCCUCUGACGUUAGCGGCGGACGGGUGAGUAACACGUGGAUAACCUACCUAUAAGACUGGGAUAACUUCGGGAAACCGGAGCUAAUACCGGAUACUAUAUUGAACCGCAUGGUUCAAUAGUGAAAGACGGUUUUGCUGUCACUUUUAGAUGGAUCCGCGCCGCAUUAGCUAGUUGUUAAGGUAACGGCUUACCAAGGCAACGAUGCGUAGCCGACCUGAGAGGGUGAUCGGCCACACUGGAACUGAGACACGGUCCAGACUCCUACGGGAGGCAGCAGUAGGGAAUCUUCCGCAAUGGGCGAAAGCCUGACGGAGCAACGCCGCGUGAGUGAUGAAGGUCUUCGGAUCGUAAAACUCUGUUAUUAGGGAAGAACAAAUGUGUAAGUAACUAUGCACGUCUUGACGGUACCUAAUCAGAAAGCCACGGCUAACUACGUGCCAGCCGCCGCAGUAA
RNAcentral lists this ribosomal RNA (513 nucleotides) under uncultured bacterium. RNAcentral's name for it is "partial 16S ribosomal RNA". It matches the Rfam family "Bacterial small subunit ribosomal RNA", at positions 28 to 523 of the family's 1533-position model. The record is from RNAcentral.